Molecule: transfer RNA, 76 nt
Filed under: Salmonella enterica subsp. enterica
Lineage: Bacteria; Pseudomonadati; Pseudomonadota; Gammaproteobacteria; Enterobacterales; Enterobacteriaceae
Description: tRNA-OTHER
Source: RNAcentral
ACGCGGGUGAGAACUGCAGCGCUCGUCGGCCUGGCGCGAACCCGAAGGUCGCCGGUUCAAAUCCGGCCCCCGCGUA